UUAGCGUCCUACUCGUCCUGAGUGAUUUGAGUCACUCACUCACUAGUCACUUCAUUUCGCCACCACCGCAACAACUGCAACCUCUCUGAAAUUCCGGCCAAAUUCAAACUUUUCCGAGGUUGAUCGAAUUCAGAGUCACUCGCUAUUUGUGAAAUUCGUGCUGGCCAUUUGUGUGGUGAUUGUCAUUUCAAAUGAGAGUUAAUUGUGUGUCUAUAUGAAGCUCCGAGGUCAUGAACAAUAUUGUGUAUAGAGAAGAGUGAUGAAAUCAGAUUCAGCCAAUCCUUUCUGCUCAGAAAUAGCUGCCAAGGAUGCAAUGGAAGCUGAAUGGGAUUCUUGUUACAAUGAUACAUGACCCUUUGAUAGAGCUCCUUGAGAUAUGCUAGCUUUUUCAUAAGUGGGUGAUGUUGUAACACUUGCAACGGGUUACAGAAAUUUGUUUACAUUACUUUAUCUAUAAUUAUUGAAAUACUAUCUGAUUGUUGGACUAUUUUUUUACUUUUUAGUGGAUAGGCAGUUCAUUACGAAAAUGGUAUAUUGUAUUGGAAUUGCCCAGAUUGGUAUGGACAUGAAUAAAAAAAAAAAAAAAAAAAUCUGAAUUGGCUAAUCAUGAUUCUAACCUUUCAUCUCUCUUACAAUCUGCUGCUGAUGCUUCUUGCAGUCUAACCUCUUUUCUGACCAAAAGAUUAUGGCAGAUGUGAAGGAUAACGAAAGGAACCUGGAGCCAGUCAUGAUUUGUCUUUCCACAAUUCUCAAGUUGGAAAUCAGGCCUGCUGCAUGGCUGAUACAAAAAUUCACAAACACAGAAUUUGCUAGUAGGUGAAUUGGGUGGUA
Chenopodium quinoa (quinoa) is the source of this 831-nucleotide long non-coding RNA. RefSeq lists it as uncharacterized. The record is from RefSeq and is a predicted model, not a curated record. Lineage: Eukaryota; Viridiplantae; Streptophyta; Magnoliopsida; Caryophyllales; Amaranthaceae. The transcript has 3 exons.